RNAcentral lists this ribosomal RNA (26 nucleotides) under Neohypochnicium cremicolor. RNAcentral describes it as "Hypochnicium cremicolor partial large subunit ribosomal RNA". The record is from RNAcentral. Lineage: Eukaryota; Fungi; Basidiomycota; Agaricomycetes; Polyporales.
AAAUCAGGUAGGAUUACCCGCUGGAA